This 401-nucleotide ribosomal RNA is filed under the name uncultured soil bacterium. Its description in RNAcentral is "bacterial SSU rRNA". It matches the Rfam family "Bacterial small subunit ribosomal RNA", at positions 987 to 1383 of the family's 1533-position model. The record is from RNAcentral.
UGCGGUACGGUCGCAGAGAUUGCGCGGAGACUGACGCAACGAACCUAGAGACACCGUUGCUGCCUGGCUGUCGUCAGCUCGUGUCGUGAGAUGUUGGGUUAAGUCCCGCAACGAGCGCAACCCUUGUCCUUAGUUGCCAGCAUUUAGUUGGGCACUCUAAGGAGACCGCCGGUGACAAACCGGAGGAAGGUGGGGAUGACGUCAAGUCAUCAUGGCCUUUAUGGCCAGGGCUACACACGUGCUACAAUGGUGGAUACAGAGGGAAGCCAACGCGCGAGCGGGAGCCAAUCCCAGAAAAUCCAUCGUAGUCCGGAUUGGAGUCUGCAACUCGACUCCAUGAAGUCGGAAUCGCUAGUAAUCGCAGAUCAGCAUUGCUGCGGUGAAUACAUUCCCGGGUCUUG